RNAcentral lists this small RNA (78 nucleotides) under Flavobacterium limicola. RNAcentral describes it as "Flavo-1 RNA". It matches the Rfam family "Flavo-1 RNA". The record is from RNAcentral. Lineage: Bacteria; Pseudomonadati; Bacteroidota; Flavobacteriia; Flavobacteriales; Flavobacteriaceae.
ACCUAGCCCUGAUAGCAGCGGUAUCCUUUACUUGCUUUUUUAAGCAAGUAAAGAUACAAGCGAAUAGCAGGAGAUUGC